This 451-nucleotide ribosomal RNA is filed under the name uncultured bacterium. RNAcentral's name for it is "partial 16S ribosomal RNA". It matches the Rfam family "Bacterial small subunit ribosomal RNA", at positions 29 to 523 of the family's 1533-position model. The record is from RNAcentral.
AGCGAACGCUGGCGGCAGGCUUAACACAUGCAAGUCGAGCGGGCGUAGCAAUACGUCAGCGGCAGACGGGUGAGUAACGCGUGGGAACGUACCUUUUGGUUCGGAACAACACAGGGAAACUUGUGCUAAUACCGUAUAAGCCCUUACGGGGAAAGCUUUAUCGCCAAAAGACCGGCCCGCGUCUGAAUAGCUAGUUGGUAGGGUAAUGGCCUACCAAGGCGACGAUCAUUAGCUGGUCUGAGAGGAUGAUCAGACACAUUGGGACUGAGACACGGCCCAAACUCCUACGGGAGGCAGCAGUGGGGAAUAUUGGUCAAUGGGGGCAACCCUGAUCCAGCCAUGCCGCGUGAGUGAUGAAGGCCCUAGGGUUGUAAAGCUCCUUUGUGCGGGAAGAUAAUGACGGUACCGCAAGAAUAAGCCCCGGCUAACUUCGUGCCAGCCGCCGCCGUAA